RNAcentral lists this small nucleolar RNA (86 nucleotides) under Lucilia cuprina (Australian sheep blowfly). RNAcentral also lists the same sequence under 1 other name. The record is from RNAcentral. Lineage: Eukaryota; Metazoa; Arthropoda; Insecta; Diptera; Calliphoridae.
UUAAAAUGAUGAUCAACCAUGCUAAUAUUGAGAAAACUUUAGGUUUUCGCUGAGUAAAACAAUACUUCUCACUUAAACUGAUUGAA